Molecule: ribosomal RNA, 497 nt
Filed under: uncultured bacterium
Lineage: Bacteria
Description: partial 16S ribosomal RNA
Rfam family: Bacterial small subunit ribosomal RNA
Source: RNAcentral
GAUGAACGCUGGCGGCGUGCCUAAUACAUGCGAGUCGAGCGAACGGACGAGAAGCUUGCUUCUCUGAUGUUAGCGGCGGACGGGUGAGUAACACGUGGAUAACCUACCUAUAAGACUGGGAUAACUUCGGGAAACCGGAGCUAAUACCGGAUGAUAUUUUGAACCGCAUGGUUCAAAAGUGAAAGACGGUCUUGCUGUCACUUAUAGAUGGAUCCGCGCUGCAUUAGCUAGUUGGUAAGGUAACGGCUUACCAAGGCAACGAUGCAUAGCCGAACUGAGAGGGUGAUCGGCCACACUGGAACUGAGACACGGUCCAGACUCCUACGGGAUGCAACAGUAGGGAAUCUUCCGCAAUGGGCGGAAGCCUGACGGAGCAACGCCGCGUGAGUGAUGAAGGUCUUCGGAUCGUAAAACUCUGUUAUUAGGGAAGAACAUAUGUGUAAGUAACUGUGCACAUCUUGACGGUACCUAAUCAGAAAGCCACGGCUAACUACGUG